CCCUUAGAUGUCCUGGGCCGCACGCGCGCUACACUGAUGCAUUCAACGAGUUUUACCUUGGCCGAGAGGCCUGGGCAAUCUUUUAAACCUGCAUCGUGAUAGGGAUAGAUUAUUGCAAUUAUUAAUCUUGAACGAGGAAUUCCUAGUAAACGCAAAUCAUCAAUUUGCAUUGAUUACGUCCCUGCCCUUUGUACACACCGCCCGUCGCUCCUACCGAUUGGGUGUGCUGGUGAAAUGUUCGGAUCGGCCGUUUGUCGCGGUUUCCGCGUCAUGUGGCUGAGAAGUUCAUUAAACCCUCCCACCUAGAGGAAGGAGAAGUCGUAACA
This 326-nucleotide ribosomal RNA is filed under the name uncultured eukaryote. RNAcentral describes it as "partial 18S ribosomal RNA". It matches the Rfam family "Eukaryotic small subunit ribosomal RNA", at positions 1470 to 1796 of the family's 1831-position model. The record is from RNAcentral.